This 138-nucleotide unclassified non-coding RNA is filed under the name soil metagenome. RNAcentral's name for it is "partial internal transcribed spacer 1". The record is from RNAcentral.
CAGAGUUGCAAAACUCCCAACCCUUUGUGAACGAACCUACCAGUUGGCCUCGGACGGCGAGCCCCCUGGGCGGACCGCCGGAGGAAUACAAACUCUUUGCAUUAUAGUAUCUCUGAUCUUACUUAUUCAAUAAGUUAA